Molecule: ribosomal RNA, 253 nt
Filed under: uncultured bacterium
Lineage: Bacteria
Description: partial 16S ribosomal RNA
Rfam family: Bacterial small subunit ribosomal RNA
Source: RNAcentral
UACGGAGGGUGCAAGCGUUACCCGGAUUCACUGGGUUUAAAGGGUGCGUAGGAGGGCAGGUAAGUCAGUGGUGAAAUCCCCGAGCUUAACUUGGGAACUGCCGUUGAUACUAUCUGUCUUGAAUGUUGUGGAGGUAAGCGGAAUAUGUCAUGUAGCGGUGAAAUGCUUAGAUAUGACAUAGAACACCAAUUGCGAAGGCAGCUUGCUACACAAUUAUUGACUCUGAUGCACGAAAGCGUGGGGAUCAAACAGG